Non-coding RNA from Carica papaya (papaya), 960 nucleotides. Lineage: Eukaryota; Viridiplantae; Streptophyta; Magnoliopsida; Brassicales; Caricaceae. The record is from RefSeq and is a predicted model, not a curated record.
CGGAUUCGGAUAUUACACUUAAUGCAAAUUUUGGAAUAUUAUAAUAUCAAAUAGAAUACUCUAGUGAGCGUUCAAUAGAUUAUAAACUGCUAGUACCGUAACUUAGAUAUUGGAAGGAUACUUGAAAAUGGAAGACGAUUUGUUCAACAUUCUAAAGUGUCUUCAUAUUUAAAAAAAAAAAAAACCAUUGCAAAGUGUCUUCUCCUCAAGCUGUUAUACAUGUUAGGGAAUGUUGUGAAACAAUAAUGUUUUAUGUUUGAUUCCAUGAGAGAGAAAAUCCUUAGAGAGGUUCUUAUUCCAUAAUGCCUAGGUUGUAUGCAUAAUGGCUCUUGGGAUCUUUUUGGCAGUCAUGUGUAUCUUGCCUUAGAAACACUUGGUGAUUGCAUAUAAAUUUUUUCUUUGUACUUUUAGAGUGAGUAAUUGUUCAUUAUUAUGCUUUGCAUAUGAUUUGUUUUUUCGUACUAUCUGAAUAGGGUGGCUGGGAGGAUGAUGAAACUGUUGAGGAGUCUGCAGCAAGGGAAGCUAUCGAGGGAAGCUGGAGUCCGUGGGGAUCUAAUGGAUUUUUUUAGGAUAUUAUCACUUCAAGAGCAAAACUCACCAGGAUGAGUUUAGUCCAGAAGGUUUAUGUAAAGCUGCAGUGUUUGCUUUGUUUGUAAAAGAGGAGCUCGAGUCAUGGCCUGAACAAAGCACCCGAACGAGGCAGUGACUAACCAUUCCCGAAGCAGUUCAAAGUUGCCGGUACCCAUGGAUGAAGGAGGUCUUGCAGGAUUGUUUCUGUAAGUGGUUUGAAGAAAAGAUGGCAAGAGGAGGGGAUAUAUCCACUCAAAUUUGAUUUUGUUAGGUGUGAAUAAAUCAAAAAACUUUCUAGGGUUUGUUCUUGCAUAUAUCUAUAUAUAUAUAUAUAUCAUUUGGUCAAGAAGAAAAAGGGUAUUAAUGAGAUAUAGGUGUUUUUGAACUUCA